This 156-nucleotide ribosomal RNA is filed under the name Hyphopichia burtonii NRRL Y-1933. RNAcentral describes it as "5.8S ribosomal RNA". It matches the Rfam family "5.8S ribosomal RNA". Rfam says of the family: 5.8S ribosomal RNA (5.8S rRNA) is a component of the large subunit of the eukaryotic ribosome. It is transcribed by RNA polymerase I as part of the 45S precursor that also contains 18S and 28S rRNA. The record is from Rfam by way of RNAcentral. Lineage: Eukaryota; Fungi; Ascomycota; Pichiomycetes; Serinales; Debaryomycetaceae.
AACUUAUAUCAACGAAUUUACUGGUUUCUACAUUGAUAAACAACACAAUGUUAUGCGAUAAGUAAUAUUGUUUACAGAUUUGGGUGAAUCAUCGAGUCUUCGAGAGCACAUUGCAUCUUAGGGUGUGUUCCACAAGACAUGCCCUUUUGAAUGUCA